UAAUAGUGCAACUAUGAGUUUCUGUAUCCAACUUUGAACGUUCGUCUUAUUUAAAAUCUUUUUAUAAUUAGUAUUUUUAUUGUUAUGAGAUGAUAAAACAUAAAUAUAACUUUGUGUGUGACUUAUGUUUUUAAUUUUUUUUAAAAAAAUAAAUAAGAUAAAUGUUUAAAGUUGGACAUGGAAAAUCAUGGCUAUACUUAAA
Oryza sativa Indica Group (long-grained rice) is the source of this 202-nucleotide microRNA precursor. It matches the Rfam family "MIR812 microRNA precursor family". The record is from Rfam. NCBI's taxonomy places the organism in Eukaryota, Viridiplantae, Streptophyta, Magnoliopsida, Poales, Poaceae.